AUUGAACGCUGGCGGCAGGCCUAACACAUGCAAGUCGAGCGAGCGGCGGACGGGUGAGUAAUGUCUGGGAAUCUGCCUGAUGGAGGGGGAUAACUCCUGGAAACGGUAGCUAAUACCGCAUACCAUCAGAUGUGCCCAGAUGGUAUUAGCUAGUAGGUGGGGUAAAGGCUCACCUAGGCGACGAUCCCUAGCUGGUCUGAGAGGAUGACCAGCCACACUGGAACUGAGACACGGUCCAGACUCCUACGGGAGGCAGCAGUGGGGAAUAUUGCACAAUGGGCGCAAGCCUGAUGCAGCCAUGCCGCGUGUGUGAAGAAGGCCUUAGGGUUGUAAAGUACUGUCAUCGGGGAGGCGUUACCCGAAGAAGAAGCACCGGCUAACUCCGUGCCAGCAGCCGCGGUAAUUC
RNAcentral lists this ribosomal RNA (406 nucleotides) under uncultured bacterium. RNAcentral describes it as "partial 16S ribosomal RNA". It matches the Rfam family "Bacterial small subunit ribosomal RNA", at positions 30 to 526 of the family's 1533-position model. The record is from RNAcentral.